This 508-nucleotide ribosomal RNA is filed under the name uncultured bacterium. RNAcentral's name for it is "partial 16S ribosomal RNA". It matches the Rfam family "Bacterial small subunit ribosomal RNA", at positions 28 to 507 of the family's 1533-position model. The record is from RNAcentral.
GACGAACGCUGGCGGCGUGCCUAAUACAUGCAAGUCGAACGCUUCUUUCCUCCCGAGUGCUUGCACUCAAUUGGAAAGAGGAGUGGCGGACGGGUGAGUAACACGUGGGUAACCUACCCAUCAGAGGGGGAUAACACUUGGAAACAGGUGCUAAUACCGCAUAACAGUUUAUGCCGCAUGGCAUAAGAGUGAAAGGCGCUUUCGGUUGUCGCUGAUGGAUGGACCCGCGGUGCAUUAGCUAGUUGGUGAGGUAACGGCUCACCAAGGCCACGAUGCAUAGCCGACCUGAGAGGGUGAUCGGCCACACUGGGACUGAGACACGGCCCAGACUCCUACGGGAGGCAGCAGUAGGGAAUCUUCGGCAAUGGACGAAAGUCUGACCGAGCAACGCCGCGUGAGUGAAGAAGGUUUUCGGAUCGUAAAACUCUGUUGUUAGAGAAGAACAAGGAAGUUAGUAACUGAACGUCCCCUGACGGUAUCUAACCAGAAAGACACGGCUAACUACGUG